This 1524-nucleotide long non-coding RNA is filed under the name Cricetulus griseus (Chinese hamster). Its description in RNAcentral is "lncRNA (ENSCGRG00015029248.1)". The record is from RNAcentral. Lineage: Eukaryota; Metazoa; Chordata; Mammalia; Rodentia; Cricetidae.
CUGAGGGCCACCAAAUAAGGAAGGACAUCAUUUUUCUCCCCUUAUCUGUGUGCAUGCCAGUGAGCAGAGCUACUUGCCUCAUUCAUGGCAGCAUCCCCAAACAUGGUGGGAAGAGACCUAGGUGCUGCGCUGAGCUGAGAGGCACAGCAAGGAAACAAACAAACACUCCUUUGCUUUUUCAUAUAACGUCUCCCCUUUCCUCUCUUACCUCCUCCUUCUGUUGACAUACGUCAUCUACCUAGAAAAGAGGACAGCUGUCCUUUCCCAAAGCUCUGGUGAACCUGCCCCACCCAGUAUGACUGACCCAAGUUGGUGAUUUUGAUCUGUUGCCAACCUAAACUGGCUCCCCAGGCACCAUUUGGUAGAUUUCCAGGGGCCGUUUCCUUGCCAAGCAUUCCUUUUCAGUGAGAGGACAUUUUUUCAUCCCUGAUAAACAACCCAGGUCCUGACAGAGCUGAGAGGGUGCCUGGCUCUCCUCGCUGCUCCUCCACUUAGUUCCCCGCAGAUCGGAUCCCUGAGGCAUCAGUGGCUCUGUGAAUUCCUUUGUGAAACCCAAGACCCUUGUCUCUAUAGGAGAGCAGAAAUCCCCAAGGGGCUUUGUGGCUUGGGGCUGAGACAUGCGGGGUUUAUCUGAAUAAAGAUAUCUUAACCUUACGGACCACGGAUCUCAUAAUAACUUUGGGCUCCCUCUUCCCUGAAGAUCAGCUGCUGGCACCAGGAGAGUCUGUGUUUGCAAACUUGCCUUUCUUGGAUUCAGUUUAGAAAGCUCAGGCAGGCUCCUGCAAUGGGAGAGACAGGAUCACCUUGCAGAUCAUACUUGCAAUCUACGGAGGAAAAAGGACAAGCCUGGGGUGGCAGGGGGUCAGGUCUGUUAAAAGGAUCUGAACCCAGUCACUAUUAGAGGACUAAUAGUGUUUUUCCACUUCCCAGGAGGCUGGAAAGCCUCAUGUGCCCUCCAAGUGCCAAGCUGGAGGAUUCGAGUGAUGAUACACCUUUAAGUCCAGAACUCUGAAGGGAGAGACAGGUGGAUCUUUGAGUUCAAGACCAGCCUGCUCUACAGAGGACGUUCCCAGGAUAGCCAAGGACACACAUAGAAACCUUGUCUUCAAGAACAACAACAAAAAAAAAUAAAGAAAAUAAAACAAAAAGAAGGGCUCUCUUUAGUUCAACCAUACUAUCUAUAACGACACCCAUAGCUCUCAUUGUCCUAAGAACACAUUUUUAUGGCAUUUGUGUUUAAGUGACAGGAUCUAGCUGAGGCUGGUUCCUUUCAGUCCAGGACAAUCUCUCUUGAACAUUUCCUAUCACAAAGCCUUGUGAAGAACCCAAGUUGUCUAUCUGUCUCAUGGAGUGUACUGCAGUCAGCAUUUGUCUGCAUGUUGCCUUACUGUCAGAUUCGGGUUAGACAUUUUUGCAAGGAUUUUACACAAGUAAUAGCUUAUGCUUCUUGUUGCCAUACUUUCAGAAAUUUGUAAUUUUGGGAAAUGUGACAAGCAUAGGUUAAAUAAACACACACUGAAUUGA